This 255-nucleotide ribosomal RNA is filed under the name uncultured bacterium. RNAcentral's name for it is "partial 16S ribosomal RNA". It matches the Rfam family "Bacterial small subunit ribosomal RNA", at positions 524 to 776 of the family's 1533-position model. The record is from RNAcentral.
GACGGAGGAUGCAAGCGUUAUCCGGAAUGAUUGGGCGUAAAGCGUCCGCAGGUGGCAGUUCAAGUCUGCUGUCAAAGACCGGGGCUUAACUUCGGAAAGGCAGUGGAAACUGAACAGCUAGAGUAUGGUAGGGGCAGAGGGAAUUCCUGGUGUAGCGGUGAAAUGCGUAGGAUAUCGAAGAGGAACACCUGCGGCGAAGGCGGGUUGCUGGGCUGAUACUGACGCUGAGGCGCGAAAGCCAGGGGAGCGAACGGG